CAGUCGCCGCGGUAAUACGGAGGGGGCUAGCGUUGUUCGGAAUUACUGGGCGUAAAGCGCACGUAGGCGGUUUGGUAAGUUAGAGGUGAAAGCCCGGAGCUCAACUCCGGAAUUGCCUUUAAGACUGCCGAGCUAGCAGGUGAGAGAGGUAAGUGGAAUUCCGAGUGUAGAGGUGAAAUUCGUAGAUAUUCGGAAGAACACCAGUGGCGAAGGCGGCAACCUGGUCCAUUACUGACGCUGAGGCGCGAUAGCGUGGGGAGCAAACAGGAUUAGAUACCCGCGUAGUCCCUGUCUCUUAUAC
This 301-nucleotide ribosomal RNA is filed under the name uncultured bacterium. Its description in RNAcentral is "partial 16S ribosomal RNA". It matches the Rfam family "Bacterial small subunit ribosomal RNA", at positions 509 to 807 of the family's 1533-position model. The record is from RNAcentral.